AUUGAACGCUGGCGGAAUGCUUUACACAUGCAAGUCGAACGGCAGCACGGGGCAACCUGGUGGCGAGUGGCGAACGGGUGAGUAAUACAUCGGAACGUGCCCAAUCGUGGGGGAUAACGUAGCGAAAGUUACGCUAAUACCGCAUACGAUCUACGGAUGAAAGCGGGGGAUCGCAAGACCUCGCGCGAUUGGAGCGGCCGAUGUCAGAUUAGGUAGUUGGUGGGGUAAAGGCUCACCAAGCCGACGAUCUGUAGCUGGUCUGAGAGGACGACCAGCCACACUGGGACUGAGACACGGCCCAGACUCCUACGGGAGGCAGCAGUGGGGAAUUUUGGACAAUGGGCGCAAGCCUGAUCCAGCCAUUCCGCGUGCAGGAUGAAGGCCUUCGGUUGUAAACUGCUUUGUACGGUAACGAAAGACUCUGGUUAAUACUGGGUCCGAUGACAGUACCGUAAGAAUAAGCACCGGCUAACUACGUGCCAGCAGCCG
This 489-nucleotide ribosomal RNA is filed under the name uncultured bacterium. Its description in RNAcentral is "bacterial SSU rRNA". It matches the Rfam family "Bacterial small subunit ribosomal RNA", at positions 30 to 517 of the family's 1533-position model. The record is from RNAcentral.